RNAcentral lists this ribosomal RNA (253 nucleotides) under uncultured bacterium. Its description in RNAcentral is "partial 16S ribosomal RNA". It matches the Rfam family "Bacterial small subunit ribosomal RNA", at positions 524 to 776 of the family's 1533-position model. The record is from RNAcentral.
UACAGAGGGGGCAAGCGUUGUUCGGAAUUACUGGGCGUAAAGGGCGCGUAGGUGGCCCUCUAAGUCAUGCGUGAAAUCCCCGGGCUCAACCCGGGAACUGCGUCUGAUACUGGAGGGCUUGAAUCCGGGAGAGGGAUGUGGAAUUCCAGGUGUAGCGGUGAAAUGCGUAGAUAUCUGGAGGAACACCGGUGGCGAAGGCGGCAUCCUGGACCGGUAUUGACGCUGAGGCGCGAAAGCCAGGGGAGCAAACGGG